AAUCAACGCUGGCGGCGUGCCUAACACAUGCAAGUCGAACGCGAAAAUCCCGCAAGGGACUAGUAGAGUGGCAAACGGGUGAGUAACGCGUGGGCGACCUACCUCAGAGUGGGGGAUAACCUUCCGAAAGGAGGGCUAAUACCGCAUGACAUCCCGUGUUUGGAUACACGGACAUCAAAGCCGGGGAUCGCAAGACCUGGCGCUUGGAGAGGGGCCCGCGUCCGAUUAGCUAGUUGGUGAGGUAACGGCUCACCAAGGCUCCGAUCGGUAUCCGGCCUGAGAGGGCGGACGGACACACUGGGACUGAGACACGGCCCAGACUCCUACGGGAGGCAGCAGUGGGGAAUUGUUCGCAAUGGGCGCAAGCCUGACGACGCAACGCCGCGUGGAGGAUGAAGGACUUCGGUCCGUAAACUCCUUU
RNAcentral lists this ribosomal RNA (421 nucleotides) under uncultured bacterium. Its description in RNAcentral is "bacterial SSU rRNA". It matches the Rfam family "Bacterial small subunit ribosomal RNA", at positions 32 to 436 of the family's 1533-position model. The record is from RNAcentral.